This is a long non-coding RNA of Impatiens glandulifera, 1055 nucleotides long. RefSeq lists it as uncharacterized. Lineage: Eukaryota; Viridiplantae; Streptophyta; Magnoliopsida; Ericales; Balsaminaceae. The transcript is spliced from 8 exons. The record is from RefSeq and is a predicted model, not a curated record.
CUGAAUAAUAUUCUAAUGUUUCUUAACUUUCAUUCCGUCUUAUUUUACCCUGUGAUUUCUUCUCUCACACACACAGGAUGGAGACGAUGCACCAUCGUCUUCCUUGCUUCUCUAUCAACAAACCACUUGCUUGCUUGUUUCUGUCAAAGUCGGCCUCGUUCUCUUCAUUUUCUAUUACAGAUACAAGUAUAGAGAUUCUCAUAGCUUCGUCUCCAGACCAGAUGAAGCUGCUGGUUUUUUUUCUUUUCGAAACUGUUUUGUUCAAAGAGCCUGAAUUGCAGACAGAAUCCGAAAGGAGGAGGAAGAAGGGAAAUGCUGGCUCUAGGAUUCAAUAUUCAAUAUUUCCUAGAUUUGUUCGUUGCCGGCUUUUCCCUUAUGAUCAGAUUGGGCUUCUUCACUUUCAUUGCCGCCAUUCUCUGCUCUAUCGCUUUCUUGCAUAACGCCAGAGAUAUCUAAGCCUUCUUUUUAGAAGAAAGUUCAGGAAGAUGGAACAAUUCUCCCUGAAUUCGCAGACGAGGAUGAAAGUCAGUGUAAGGAGAACUCUUUGAACAACUGAAUCUUGAGUUGGAAAGUGAUCUUGAACUGAAAAGGAUGAGACACCAUGAAGUUGUAUACUUGAUUCAUGAAGAUCACGAUGAAGAGGUGGAGAAUGUAAACUCCAAAGUUUGAGAUCCUUCGUGCUUCGCGCUUCCAUGCCAUUAUCGCGAGCCUCCCUUCUCCUGUUCUUUUGAGGAGAAUUGAAAACUAUGAGAUGAUGGUGCAGAAGUUGAGAAAUCAAUCACACCUCACAAGUUCUGCAAAUAUCUAACGACUUCUAAUACUAGCUCUCAUGGUGGUUUCUCCGUCCCUCGUCGUGCUGCAGAAGACUAUUUCCCUCCCUUGGUAAGGUGGGACAACAAGGAAAUAUUGUAGCUUCGAGUUCAAUUUUUUCGUCGUUGAUAUGUGAUUGACUUCUUAUAAAAUAUGUUUUAGUUUUAAUGACUUUGGGUUUAUAGUUUAUUUUGAAUGUAUUUAGUGAUAAUGAAUUAUUGAUAAUGUUAUUUUGUGAUAAUGAA